UACGUAGGGGGCGAGCGUUAUCCGGAUUUACUGGGUGUAAAGGGAGCGUAGACGGCCAUGCGAGCCUGAUGUGAAAGGCGUGGGCACAACCCGCGGACUGCAUCGGGGACUGUGUGGCUGGAGUGUUGGAGGGGCAGGCGGAAUUCCUGGUGUAGCGGUGAAAUGCGUAGAUAUCAGGAGGAACACCGGUGGCGAAGGCGGCCUGCUGGACAACGACUGACGUUGAGGCUCGAGAGCGUGGGGAGCGAACAGG
RNAcentral lists this ribosomal RNA (253 nucleotides) under uncultured bacterium. RNAcentral describes it as "partial 16S ribosomal RNA". It matches the Rfam family "Bacterial small subunit ribosomal RNA", at positions 524 to 776 of the family's 1533-position model. The record is from RNAcentral.